AGGAUAAACGCUGGCGGCGUGCAUGAGACAUGCAAGUCGAACGGACGAUCAGGGCUUGCUCUGAUCGUUAGUGGCGGACGGCUGAGUAACGCGUAGGUGACCUGCCCCGAAGUGGGGAAUAACUGCCCGAAAGGGUGGCUAAUACCGCAUGUGGUGGUGUGUUCAUUCACACCAGUAAAGCCGCAAGGCGCUUCGGGAGGGGCCUGCGUCCGAUUAGCUCGUUGGCGGGUAACGGCUCACCAAGGCGACGAUCGGUAGGUGGUCUGAGAGGACGAUCACCCAGACUGGGGACUGAGACACGGCCCAGACUCCUACGGGAGGCAGCAGUCGGGAAUUUUGCGCAAUGGACGAAAGUCUGACGCAGCAACGCCGCGUGAGGGAUGAAGGCCUUCGGGUUGUAAACCUCUUUUAUCUAGGGAAGAUAAUGACGGUACCUGAUGAAUAAGUCACGGCUAACUACGUGCCAGCAGCCGC
RNAcentral lists this ribosomal RNA (474 nucleotides) under uncultured bacterium. RNAcentral describes it as "SSU rRNA". It matches the Rfam family "Bacterial small subunit ribosomal RNA", at positions 26 to 518 of the family's 1533-position model. The record is from RNAcentral.